Molecule: ribosomal RNA, 460 nt
Filed under: uncultured bacterium
Lineage: Bacteria
Description: partial 16S ribosomal RNA
Rfam family: Bacterial small subunit ribosomal RNA
Source: RNAcentral
CCUACGGGAGUCAGCAGUGAGGAAUAUUGGUCAAUGGGCGUAAGCCUGAACCAGCCAAGUCGCGUGAGGGAUGAAGGUUCUAUGGAUCGUAAACCUCUUUUAUAAGGGAAUAAAGUGUGGGACGUGUCCUGUUUUGUAUGUACCUUAUGAAUAAGGAUCGGCUAACUCCGUGCCAGCAGCCGCGGUAAUACGGAGGAUCCGAGCGUUAUCCGGAUUUAUUGGGUUUAAAGGGUGCGUAGGCGGCAUGUUAAGUCAGCGGUGAAAGUCUGUGGCUCAACCAUAGAAUUGCCGUUGAAACUGGGAGGCUUGAGUAUGUUUGAGGCAGGCGGAAGGCGUGGUGUAGCGGUGAAAUGCUUAGAUAUCACGCAGAACCCCGAUUGCGAAGGCAGCCUGCCAAGCCAUGACUGACGCUGAUGCACGAAAGCGUGGGGAUCAAACAGGAUUAGAUACCCUAGUAGUC